AACGAACGCUGGCGGCGCGUCUUAAACAUGCAAGUCGAACGAUCUGUAGCAAUACAGGGAGUGGCGGACGGGUGAGGAACACGUAGGAAUCUACCUUGAAGAGCGGGACAACUUUGGGAAACCGGGCUAAUACCGCAUAGUACAGAGAUGUUAAAAGGGCUAGCAAUAGUCGCUUCGAGAUGAGCCUGCGGUCUAUCAGCUUGUUGGUGAGGUAAUGGCUCACCAAGGCUACGACGGAUAGCCGGUCUGAGAGGAUGAUCGGCCACACUGGCACUGAGACACGGGCCAGACUCCUAC
RNAcentral lists this ribosomal RNA (297 nucleotides) under uncultured bacterium. RNAcentral describes it as "partial 16S ribosomal RNA". It matches the Rfam family "Bacterial small subunit ribosomal RNA", at positions 29 to 342 of the family's 1533-position model. The record is from RNAcentral.